Molecule: long non-coding RNA, 982 nt
Organism: Camellia sinensis
Lineage: Eukaryota; Viridiplantae; Streptophyta; Magnoliopsida; Ericales; Theaceae
Source: RefSeq, a predicted model, not a curated record
CGUAUUUUUUCUUUAAUAAACCGCACUCACUAGAGUAACGUCACACAAAUCCAAACCACGCUCAAACCACUUCCUUCACCACCGCCCGAGUCUCGGCAGCAGGAACAGCGAUAUAGCCCAUCCUCUGCAGGUUCACAUCAUCAGCACCAUCAAAAUCAUCAUCUGAAUCACGGAAUUCGAAGCUGUUGGGAUUAGCGAAAAGAGACCAGAUCAAGUAAAGAGUUCUGGCAGUGAUGGCGCCACAAGCGACUCCUAACAACAGAGAUCCAACAUCCUUGAUAAUGCCCUUAGUGCGAUCGUUUAACGAAGUGUAGAAACCAAGAAUUGGGCGUCGAAUUUCUUCACCGAUUUUGGAUCGAUGGACCAAGUGAGAGGGGUGAGUGGGGAGGAAGGUGAGUUUGGGUCGAAAUCUCUGGAUUGGGUGAGGAAAAAGUUGAGGGAUGGAUUGUUAUGUUCAAUUGGGUGAAGAAAUCGUAGGUUCAAUCGGAGUCAAGAGACUCGAGAUCUUGUAGCUUCUUUCUCUGAUUCGUUGGAGGAAAGUGUUACUACACACAACCACUAAAAAGGAUGCAUAUUGUAUGCACUCAAAAUUUCAGUCACAAUUGGUCAUGGGUUGCCCAAUGAAGCAGUUUAAAGGUAAGUGUGUGAGGGAGAGACGUGAGGGAUCGUAGAGAUGAGAGCAUCGAGGACCUGCUCAAAUUCUUCAAGGAUGAAGUUGCUGCUUUUCGUUAAGGGUGUGCUUGUACAGAAGAAGGAUACUGAUGAGACAAUCAACAUCAUAUCUCAUUACAAUUUGUUACCUGUAUUCCUUUCCUUCUUUGGUUCCUCAUUUUAAUCUCAUUAUGCUCAUCUUCUGUUAUAUAUUUAUUUAAUUCAAUUUUCUGAUUUCCUAACAGUUGUUUGCAUACAUUCUCAUAAUCGUAACCGGGAAGUUAUUAAACACAUCGUUUAAUUGUUAAUAUAUAAUCUCAAAUCUAUUCCA